Molecule: ribosomal RNA, 451 nt
Filed under: uncultured bacterium
Lineage: Bacteria
Description: partial 16S ribosomal RNA
Rfam family: Bacterial small subunit ribosomal RNA
Source: RNAcentral
GUGGGGAAUAUUGGACAAUGGGGGGAACCCUGAUCCAGCCAUGCCGCGUGUGUGAAGAAGGCCUUUUGGUUGUAAAGCACUUUAAGCGAGGAGGAGGCUACCGAGAUUAAUACUCUUGGAUAGUGGACGUUACUCGCAGAAUAAGCACCGGCUAACUCUGUGCCAGCAGCCGCGGUAAUACAGAGGGUGCAAGCGUUAAUCGGAUUUACUGGGCGUAAAGCGCGCGUAGGUGGCCAAUUAAGUCAAAUGUGAAAUCCCCGAGCUUAACUUGGGAGUUGCAAUCGAUACUGGUUGGCUAGAGUAUGGGAGAGGAUGGUAGAAUUCCAGGUGUAGCGGUGAAAUGCGUAGAGAUCUGGAGGAAUACCGAUGGCGAAGGCAGCCAUCUGGCCUAAUACUGACACUGAGGUGCGAAAGCAUGGGGAGCAAACAGGAUUAGAAACCCCGGUAGUCC